AGAUUAUAUUUUAUUUUUAUAAAAUGGUAACACACAUCCAUGUUUUGAAACUUAUAAUGACUUUGAUUCUCUUACCCCACUUUCAUUUUUUUGCUCAUUAACAGGGAUAGCAAAAUGGCUAAUACCAUUCUCUAUCUUCAGGAAUUGGAGUCAGUUAGUGGCUUCACCCACAUCUUCGGGCGAUUACAAGAUACUUAACGGCAUAAAAACGGUACUGAUGACCAUGACAAUAGUAGCACAUCGAUCCAUGUUUACUGCCGAGCGAGUGGCGUUAACUAAUUGGUCUUAUUUUGAAAGGAGAUUCCAUGAAUUCAGCAUCUUCUUCGUCGGCAUGCCCAUACCAGAUAUUUUUCUUUCAAAACCGGCUUUUUACUCUGUCUUUCUAUGCUAAAACAAUUAGAGAAAAAAACUUUCAAUGUGUGGGUACACGCGGCCAACAAGUUGCUCAGGUAAGCGUAACGUCUUGACACAAAAGAGUUGUACAAGUCUUGUCUUAGAUCAAAUGUUUAAGCUUUAAUAUUACCUUCAAUAAAUGCGCGGUUAAGGCGACACAGAUCCACUUUUUGCAUUAUGAAACCAUCAUUUAGGCUCAUUUUAGAAACAACACAUGUGCCAUCAGUUUCCUUGUGCAGAAAGGUGCUUUUAGAAUGAGCCAGAAAUACCGGUCCCUUCUUGCAAAAUGAAACCCACUUUAUAAAAAAUGUGUGGCGAGAAUAUCAACAUUAUAAAUCAGGGAAAUUAAUCACAAACUAUAUUAACUCGUGUAAAACAAUCUGUAAAUUGCCAUGUAAAUACAUGUUAUGAACCAUCAAACUCCAAAGGUGAAGCAACUCAAGAUAUUGAAAGACGUAUACAUAGUGAAAAAUUUUAGUACAAAGAAGGUCUCCUUUUCUUAAUUCACGUCAAACUCCAGCACCAAAAUAUCAACACUAAAUGGCGGAGUAAUUUGGUAUUAUUUGCAAAUAAAAAUAAAUGUACCACUUUUUACCUUUUUUUUUUUUUUUGUAAAAAUUUGGGAGUGAGAGUCAUUGAAGCAAAUGUCACGCAAUUAUUUGAGGGUGUCUUAAGCAGCGUUACAACCUCUUUACAAGAGCUAGAUGGGUGUAAAAAAUGCGGAAAAAUUGUGUGACGUAAUUUAUGGACAUUCCUUGAAGAAGUCUCAGUCAUUCCUUGAAGAAGUCUCAGUCAUUCCUUUGUCUCUAAGCGUAAAGUAAAUAUCUAAAAAUGUAACUCUACUUCGUCUUCCCUUUUUCCUUCGUUCUUUUUACCAUUUAUUUAAAAAAUGAUUUG
Molecule: long non-coding RNA, 1290 nt
Filed under: Bemisia tabaci
Lineage: Eukaryota; Metazoa; Arthropoda; Insecta; Hemiptera; Aleyrodidae
Description: lncRNA ENSSSA2NGG002360
Source: RNAcentral